RNAcentral lists this non-coding RNA (162 nucleotides) under Streptomyces natalensis. Lineage: Bacteria; Bacillati; Actinomycetota; Actinomycetes; Kitasatosporales; Streptomycetaceae. The record is from RNAcentral.
GCUCGCCGGUCGGUUCGCGGUAGCGUCCCGAUGAUAUUGACGAUGACAUGACGGAAGCCGGUGGGAUCCCGGCGCGGUCGCGCCACUGUAUGUCCGGUUUUGACUCAGCCCCACAGGGGCCGGGACCGGGCAAGCCAGACCCGCCAUGUCGUCCGGCGCUCC